UUCUCAAUACCCUAAAUCUUUGCGGAUGAGGGUGUAUUGGACUUGGAGGUUUUUGCAGGCAAUAUUACUUUGUCGGCUCCUCUUAAAUACAUUAGCAGAGAUAUUACUGCUACUCUCCAGCGUGAUAAUUGUCUACGCUGUUAGUAGUGCGGUAUAUAAACAUCUAUGCUUCUAAUCGUCUUCGGACAAUUCUUUGAC
Molecule: unclassified non-coding RNA, 198 nt
Filed under: uncultured Polyporales
Lineage: Eukaryota; Fungi; Basidiomycota; Agaricomycetes; Polyporales
Also listed under: 1 other name
Description: sequence contains ITS2
Source: RNAcentral